AGAGUUUGAUCAUGGCUCAGAUUGAACGCUGGCGGCAGGCCUAACACAUGCAAGUCGAGCGGAAACGAGUUAUCUGAACCUUCGGGGAACGAUAACGGCGUCGAGCGGCGGACGGGUGAGUAAUGCCUAGGAAAUUGCCCUGAUGUGGGGGAUAACCAUUGGAAACGAUGGCUAAUACCGCAUGAUGCCUACGGGCCAAAGAGGGGGACCUUCGGGCCUCUCGCGUCAGGAUAUGCCUAGGUGGGAUUAGCUAGUUGGUGAGGUAAGGGCUCACCAAGGCGACGAUCCCUAGCUGGUCUGAGAGGAUGAUCAGCCACACUGGAACUGAGACACGGUCCAGACUCCUACGGGAGGCAGCAGUGGGGAAUAUUGCACAAUGGGCGCAAGCCUGAUGCAGCCAUGCCGCGUGUGUGAAGAAGGCCUUCGGGUUGUAAAGCACUUUCAGUCGUGAGGAAGGUGGUGUAGUUAAUAGCUGCAUUAUUUGAAGGUUAGCGACAGAAGAAGCACCGGCUAACUCCGUGCCAGCAGCCGCGGUAAUACGGAGGGUGCGAGCGUUAAUCGGAAUUACUGGGCGUAAAGCGCAUGCAGGUGGUUUGUUAAGUCAGAUGUGAAAGCCCGGGGCUCAACCUCGGAAUAGCAUUUGAAACUGGCAGACUAGAGUACUGUAGAGGGGGGUAGAAUUUCAGGUGUAGCGGUGAAAUGCGUAGAGAUCUGAAGGAAUACCGGUGGCGAAGGCGGCCCCCUGGACAGAUACUGACACUCAGAUGCGAAAGCGUGGGGAGCAAACAGGAUUAGAUACCCUGGUAGUCCACGCCGUAAACGAUGUCUACUUGGAGGUUGUGGCCUUGAGCCGUGGCUUUCGGAGCUAACGCGUUAAGUAUACCGCCUGGGGAGUACGGUCGCAAGAUUAAAACUCAGAUGAAUUGACGGGGGCCCGCACAAGCGGUGGAGCAUGUGGUUUAAUUCGAUGCAACGCGAACAACCUUACCUACUCUUGACAUCCAGAGAACUUUCCAGAGAUGGAUUGGUGCCUUCGGGAACUCUGAGACAGGUGCUGCAUGGCUGUCGUCAGCUCGUGUUGUGAAAUGUUGGGUUAAGUCCCGCAACGAGCGCAACCCUUAUCCUUGUUUGCCAGCGAGUAAUGUCGGGAACUCCAGGGAGACUGCCGGUGAUAAACCGGAGGAAGGUGGGGACGACGUCAAGUCAUCAUGGCCCUUACGAGUAGGGCUACACACGUGCUACAAUGGCGCAUACAGAGGGCGGCCAACUUGCGAAAGUGAGCGAAUCCCAAAAAGUGCGUCGUAGUCCGGAUUGGAGUCUGCAACUCGACUCCAUGAAGUCGGAAUCGCUAGUAAUCGUGGAUCAGAAUGCCACGGUGAAUACGUUCCCGGGCCUUGUACACACCGCCCGUCACACCAUGGGAGUGGGCUGCAAAAGAAGUAGGUAGUUUAACCUUCGGGGGGACGCUUACCACUUUGUGGUUCAUGACUGGGGUGAAGUCGUAACAAGGUAACC
Molecule: ribosomal RNA, 1515 nt
Filed under: Vibrio alginolyticus
Lineage: Bacteria; Pseudomonadati; Pseudomonadota; Gammaproteobacteria; Vibrionales; Vibrionaceae
Description: 16S ribosomal RNA
Rfam family: Bacterial small subunit ribosomal RNA
Source: RNAcentral